Long non-coding RNA from Clupea harengus (Atlantic herring), 1478 nucleotides. Lineage: Eukaryota; Metazoa; Chordata; Actinopteri; Clupeiformes; Clupeidae. The record is from Ensembl.
CCUUUUUUUCCGAGCCUCUAAACACCACAGACCACCGCUGGUAUUUAUGUCAUGGAGGCGCAAAGCUGGUGCUCAAACUAGCAUCUUCCCCAAAGACAUUAACGUGAUACCUCAGCUUUACUUUAAAGCUCUACUUUACUUUGGCUCUCUUCGAAGGCGGUCGCAUUUUUCUCUCCCUCUCCUCCCCUUGACCUUCCCUGCUUGGCUUCUAUCGUCUUGUCUUGUCUUGUGCUAUACUUGAGAGACUCUCUCCGCAUCGCUCUUCGAACUAAAAAAACAUGGAUUUGAUCACUUGGUCUCUCAAUGCAAUUGACACCAUCUUCUCAACGAGAAGCUCGGGUUCGGGGAACCUGUCUGUCCUCCCGGGACGUUCGCAGCUGGCUACAUGAUGGACGCGUGGGAGCAGUGGCGUGUCGUGUGCCUAGCAGCCCUUUCCGUGGAGGACGUUGAAGACAUCUACCUAUUCGGAACUAUGAUUACAGGAUUUCUGCUGUUUGGAUUAGGCGCUACCCUGAUUUAUCGGAAAAUUAAGGAAACGGCGACACCUGUCAUUAGCCCCCUAAGGCUGCCCGAAAUGAUUGAUGCGCUGGGUAGAGUUGUGGGCACUCAGACUGUGGCUUCAAACCGCCAGAUUGAUAACAACAAGGAGAUGUUCACGGCUAUGCAAAUGAAAUUGGAUCGAAUUGAAGACCUGUUACAAAAAGUUGUUACUAAAAUGGGAUAAAAAAGGUCUCAAGAGUAGAGGCACAAAUUGAAUGCAGCUACUUGCAAGACCAAACAAUCCCAAUCUUAUCUGCUUUCGGCUCCCUCAACCGGAACGUGCCUUGGCCAAGGCCGUUGCUGGAAAAACAACUCCCCUGAAGAUUGCUGCAGUGAGACUCUCUCUCAUUCCCUUCCCCCUUUCCACAGACACCUGUGGAUUGUUGUCUCUGUCCAGGACCCUUUCAAGGAUGUCUCCAUGGCAACGACAAUCUUGCGAACUGAGAAUCUGUCUGAUUGUGGCCUGGGGGAAGGAACAACCCAGGCCUACUCAUACAUGAACUUUGCAUGAACUUUACAUACAUACAUGAACUUUGCAUACAUAUACACGUACAUACUACACACAGAUAUGCAUCCACGCCCCCAACCCCCCAUCCCACGCCUUCGCCUCGUUGCAAGUCUUGAGUUCUGUCAUGUUGUAAAAUGUAUGUGCUUAUGUGCUGAGGUGUUUUUUUCCUGCUCCCACACUGUACUCCUCUAGGAGCAUAGUCUGGGGGUCGCCUUUUUUUUUCUCCUCCCUUUCCUCAUGUUAUGCUGCAAUUCUUCCCUCAACCUUGUCUUCUCGUCCUGUACCCCCUUGUCCGAUGGCGCUUGUGUAGCGGCCGUGGAGAUCUCGUGCAGGAGAUAGUUUGUAUACUAUAGCCUACAUGGAGAAUACCAAAACAAAUUCCUAGUAUCUGUAUACAUGGCGAAAUAAAAGUUGAAUUUUCUCAUAGGUU